This is a long non-coding RNA of Eurytemora carolleeae, 496 nucleotides long. RefSeq lists it as uncharacterized. NCBI's taxonomy places the organism in Eukaryota, Metazoa, Arthropoda, Copepoda, Calanoida, Temoridae. The record is from RefSeq and is a predicted model, not a curated record. The transcript is spliced from 5 exons.
AAUAAUAAUAAUAAUAGUAAUAAUAAUAAUAAUAAUGAUAAUAAUAAAAAUAUAGACAGUGGGAGGAGGGAGAUUCAACACCUCAUCAUAUUCAUCAAUCAUUUAAGGCAGUGUGCAAGAAAGGAACGAAUGAAAUUGACCUUCGCAGUUUUGAGAAGAGUCUAUCCCUUGUUACUGGUGAGGAACUGGAUCAGGAUGAAAUUAAACUGGUAAUGAGGGAGCUGGCGAAGCGAGGUGUCGAGAAGAAUAUUGUUCCCAUCAACACCGUCUUGGAUGUACUCAUGGAGAAUUAUGUGAAUAGUUCAGAGGCAGUAAUAGCGGACAAUUCAACCUAGCGAAAAAUAUUAUUAUUUUUUUCUUGAAAAAUUGUUUUUCUAAAUAAUGUAUCUAGAUUUACAAUAAACACAUACUUUUUGAAUAGUCAAGAGCUAUUUCAGCAUUUAUGCAUAAUAUAAAUGUGUUAAAAGGUUUUUAUAUAUUUUGUUAAAUUAUUCUA